AUUGAACGCUGGCGGCAUGCUUUACACAUGCAAGUCGAACGGCAGCGCGGGCUUCGGCCUGGCGGCGAGUGGCGAACGGGUGAGUAAUGCAUCGGAACGUGCCCCGUAGUGGGGGAUAGCCCGGCGAAAGCCGGAUUAAUACCGCAUACGACCUGAGGGUGAAAGCGGGGGACCGAAAGGCCUCGCGCUAUUGGAGCGGCCGAGGCCGGAUUAGCUAGUUGGUGGGGUAAAGGCUUACCAAGGCGACGAUCCGUAGCUGGUCUGAGAGGACGACCAGCCACACUGGGACUGAGACACGGCCCAGACUCCUACGGGAGGCAGCAGUGGGGAAUGGUGGACAAUGGGGGCAACCCUGAUCCAGCCAUGCCGCGUGCGGGAAGAAGGCCUUCGGGUUGUAAACCGCUUUUGUUCGGGAAGAAAUCCUCUGGGCUAAUACCCCGGGGGGAUGACGGUACCGGAAGAAUAAGCACCGGCUAACUACGUG
Molecule: ribosomal RNA, 484 nt
Filed under: uncultured bacterium
Lineage: Bacteria
Description: partial 16S ribosomal RNA
Rfam family: Bacterial small subunit ribosomal RNA
Source: RNAcentral